RNAcentral lists this ribosomal RNA (400 nucleotides) under uncultured bacterium. RNAcentral's name for it is "bacterial SSU rRNA". It matches the Rfam family "Bacterial small subunit ribosomal RNA", at positions 129 to 524 of the family's 1533-position model. The record is from RNAcentral.
CCUGAUGGAGGGGGAUAACUACUGGAAACGGUAGCUAAUACCGCAUAACGUCGCAAGACCAAAGAGGGGGACCUUCGGGCCUCUUGCCAUCAGAUGUGCCCAGAUGGGAUUAGCUAGUAGGUGGGGUAACGGCUCACCUAGGCGACGAUCCCUAGCUGGUCUGAGAGGAUGACCAGCCACACUGGAACUGAGACACGGUCCAGACUCCUACGGGAGGCAGCAGUGGGGAAUAUUGCACAAUGGGCGCAAGCCUGAUGCAGCCAUGCCGCGUGUAUGAAGAAGGCCUUCGGGUUGUAAAGUACUUUCAGCGGGGAGGAAGGCGAUAAGGUUAAUAACCUUGUCGAUUGACGUUACCCGCAGAAGAAGCACCGGCUAACUCCGUGCCAGCAGCCGCGGUAAU